CACCCUUCAAGCUAUGCUUGGUAUUGGAUUUCAUCUUGUUUGAUGUUUCCGAAAGAAAGUGGCAGUUUGUAGAACUUCAAGCGCAGUGAAAAUUUUCGUGAACAAGUUUGUCAAGCUCGCCAGAACAAUUUCAAUA
RNAcentral lists this unclassified non-coding RNA (136 nucleotides) under uncultured Micarea. RNAcentral's name for it is "sequence contains ITS2". Lineage: Eukaryota; Fungi; Ascomycota; Lecanoromycetes; Lecanorales; Micareaceae. The record is from RNAcentral.